Molecule: ribosomal RNA, 253 nt
Filed under: uncultured bacterium
Lineage: Bacteria
Description: partial 16S ribosomal RNA
Rfam family: Bacterial small subunit ribosomal RNA
Source: RNAcentral
UACGAAGGGGGCUAGCGUUGCUCGGAAUUACUGGGCGUAAAGGGCGCGUAGGCGGAUAGUUUAGUCAGAGGUGAAAGCCCAGGGCUCAACCUUGGAAUUGCCUUUGAUACUGGCUAUCUUGAGUAUGGGAGAGGUGUGUGGAACUCCGAGUGUAGAGGUGAAAUUCGUAGAUAUUCGGAAGAACACCAGUGGCGAAGGCGACACACUGGCCCAUUACUGACGCUGAGGCUCGAAAGCGUGGGGAGCAAACAGG